CCUACGGGAGGCAGCAGUAGGGAAUAUUGCUCAAUGGGGGAAACCCUGAAGCAGCAACGCCGCGUGGAGGAUGAAGGUUUUCGGAUUGUAAACUCCUUUUGUUAGAGAAGAUAAUGACGGUAUCUAACGAAUAAGAACCGGCUAACUCCGUUCCAGCAGCCGCGGUAAUACGGCGGGUGCAAGCGUUACUCGGAAUCACUGGGCGUAAAGAGCGCGUAGGCGGGAUAGAAAGUCAGAUGUGAAAGCCUAUGGCUUAACCAUAGAACUGCAUUUGAAACUGGUAUUCUAGAGUAUGGGAGAGGUAGGUGGAAUUCGUGGUGUAGGGGUAAAAUGCGUAGAGAUCAAGAGGAAUACUCAUUGCGAAGGCGACCUGCUAGAACAUAACUGACGCUGAUGCGCGAAAGCGUGGGGAGCAAACAGGAUUAGAUACCCGGGUAGUC
Molecule: ribosomal RNA, 440 nt
Filed under: uncultured bacterium
Lineage: Bacteria
Description: partial 16S ribosomal RNA
Rfam family: Bacterial small subunit ribosomal RNA
Source: RNAcentral